GAGGGAAACACGGUGAAUCGAUCGAUGUUCUUGCUAUUAUUUAUAAAUAUAUAUAUAUAUUAUAUUGUUUUGGUACAGGAAUUGUCGGUUUUUAUUAUUAUUAUUAUUUUUUUUUUUUUAUUUUUCCCCGAAAGACCACGGGUAACGUUCCGUGACACCUAGCCGCCUCCCGCAGCAGUAUACCUGUACCCACAACAAACGACAACGACGACAACAGAGCCCGCCGGUGUGGGAGUUCCAAAUUAUCCGAAAUUUAUCACAAUUAUUGAUUGUUUCUAGUUCGACCAAUUGGUCACGCCGGUGU
Non-coding RNA from Cinara cedri, 304 nucleotides. The record is from the annotation of a GenBank genome assembly. NCBI's taxonomy places the organism in Eukaryota, Metazoa, Arthropoda, Insecta, Hemiptera, Aphididae.